This 270-nucleotide long non-coding RNA is filed under the name Homo sapiens (human). RNAcentral's name for it is "HSALNT0260975". The record is from RNAcentral. Lineage: Eukaryota; Metazoa; Chordata; Mammalia; Primates; Hominidae.
CUACGGACUCAUUGGGUGCAGCAGGUAAGAGAGAAAACCUAUACCCAUAUUGCUGACUUGGGAAGUAGCCCUAUUUGUCUCUGAUGUCACAGAAGAAGAGUGACAGUCAAAUGUUGGUUACUUUUCCUGUUGCCUUAGUGAUCACUGUAGCUGAUGUUUGCUGAGAACCGUUUAUGUGCCAAUCCCUGCUCUAAGCACGUGGACUAAUGCAUCAACUCUCAACAACAACUUGUGAGGACCUACAGGUUGUCCUCCUUCCAUUCCUAUGCC